Molecule: long non-coding RNA, 185 nt
Organism: Teleopsis dalmanni
Lineage: Eukaryota; Metazoa; Arthropoda; Insecta; Diptera; Diopsidae
Exons: 2
Source: RefSeq, a predicted model, not a curated record
AGAUACAUUUGAGACGUGCGCGCGUUUAGUCGUUACAUUUAAAUUCGAAAAAUUUUCACAAAAAAAAAAUAUAUUCUAAUAAAUAAAUUAAAAUAUUUAAUUUAUAUAAACUCAAAAAAAGUGAAAUAUUAUUUUGAAAAUAAUUCCACAUCAUUCAUGCAACGUCAAUUCCUCAACAAGAAAAA